This 601-nucleotide long non-coding RNA is filed under the name Salvia miltiorrhiza (redroot sage). Its description in RNAcentral is "long non-coding RNA (SMIL_LNC002090)". Lineage: Eukaryota; Viridiplantae; Streptophyta; Magnoliopsida; Lamiales; Lamiaceae. The record is from RNAcentral.
UCUUAUUUAAUUUUAAGUGAAGAUUAUGUGUAGUUUAUAAGCCCAUUUAUCUUUAUAUUAUUAAUUGUGAUAAUAAUUUAAAUGUCUUCUAAUUUUUUUUAUUUUAUUAUUUUUAUUUUUCUAUGGGAUUUACGUCCAGCCAGAGUCAGCCAUGUUUCACUCUGCAAUUCACCACAUUGUGAACCAAUCACUUUACAUGCAUCUGCAAUCCACCACAUUUUGAACCAAUCACCUUACAUGCAUUUUUCUCUCAUGGAAUAAAUUUGCCAAUACUCAAAGAUCAGAUCAUUCACAGAAAAUACAAUUAUCAUCAGCUUUCUUUCCUCUCCAGAAAUUCUUUCAAAUCACAAGCAUCCCUUCAAGAAAGUUCUGUCCCAGAAAUCAAAAAUCUGAUACUCCAUACAUCACAAAAACAAAGAACACAGUCUGUAAGUAUAUAUAUUUCUCAAGUGUUUUGCCCAUUUCAUAAGAAAAGAUUGAAUUUUUGCAUAAGAAAAAGACUGAAUUUUGCAUAAGAAAAUAUUACAAUUUUUCCUUCACCUUUUCAAGAAAUUAGAAGGUUAGAAUGAGAUAGGGGUUUUGAGGUGAUUUUGGGGAGGGG